Molecule: non-coding RNA, 88 nt
Filed under: unclassified sequences
Source: RNAcentral
AAUUAUCUGCCACCGGGUAGGAAUGUUGAAAGCAUUCACAUACGCAUCGAUAGGUCUUUGAAGAUGUGUAUAUGAAUGCUUUUUAUAU